GGCCUCGUAGCUCAGUUGGUUAGAGCGCCGCCCUGUCACGGCGGAGGUCACCGGUUCAAGUCCGGCCGAGGUCG
RNAcentral lists this transfer RNA (74 nucleotides) under Bifidobacterium thermophilum. RNAcentral's name for it is "tRNA-Asp". It matches the Rfam family "tRNA". From Rfam's summary of the family: Transfer RNA (tRNA) molecules are approximately 80 nucleotides in length. RNAcentral also lists the same sequence under 8 other names. Lineage: Bacteria; Bacillati; Actinomycetota; Actinomycetes; Bifidobacteriales; Bifidobacteriaceae. The record is from RNAcentral.